AGUUAACACCUGCACUAUUUGACGUUACCUACAGAAGAAGCACCGGCUAACUCCGUGCCAGCAGCCGCGGUAAUACGGAGGGUGCGAGCGUUAAUCGGAAUUACUGGGCGUAAAGCGCAUGCAGGCGGCCUGUUAAGUCAGAUGUGAAAGCCCGGGGCUUAACCUCGGAAUUGCAUUUGAAACUGGCAGGCUAGAGUCUUGUAGAGGGGGUAGAAUUUCAGGUGUAGCGGUGAAAAUGCGUAGAGAUCUGAAGGAAUACCAGUGGCGAAGGCGGCCCCCUGGACAAAGACUGACGCUCAGAUGCGAAAGCGUGGGGAGCAAACAGGAUUAGAUACCCUGGUAG
This 343-nucleotide ribosomal RNA is filed under the name uncultured bacterium. RNAcentral's name for it is "bacterial SSU rRNA". It matches the Rfam family "Bacterial small subunit ribosomal RNA", at positions 454 to 793 of the family's 1533-position model. The record is from RNAcentral.